UAGAGUUUGUUCCUGGCUCAGGACGAACGCUGGCGGCGCGCUUAACACAUGCAAGUCGAGCGAGAACCGAGGCUUCGGCCUCGAGGAAAGCGGCGAACGGGUGAGUAACACGUGGGCAACCUGCCCUCGGCACCGGGAUAGCCCGGGGAAACCCGGAUUAAUACCGGACAGCCUCCGGAGCCUGCGGGCGCCGGAGAAAAGGUGGCUUCGGCUUCCGGCUGAGGAGGGGCCUGCGGCGGAUUAGCUUGUUGGUGAGGUAACGGCUCACCAAGGCGACGAUCCGUAGCUGGUCUGAGAGGACGAUCAGCCACACUGGGACUGAGACACGGCCCAGACUCCUACGGGAGGCAGCAGUGGGGAAUAUUGGACAAUGGGCGCAAGCCUGAUCCAGCCAUGCCGCGUGGGUGAUGAAGGCCCUAGGGUUGUAAAGCCCUUUCAGCGGGGAAGAUAAUGACGGUACCCGCAGAAGAAGCCCCGGCUAACUUCGUGCCAGCAGCCGCGGUAAUACGAAGGGGGCUAGCGUUGCUCGGAAUUACUGGGCGUAAAGCGCACGUAGGCGGAUUGUUAAGUCGGGGGUGAAAUCCUGGAGCUCAACUCCAGAACUGCCUUCGAUACUGGCGAUCUCGAGUCCGGGAGAGGUGAGUGGAACUGCGAGUGUAGAGGUGAAAUUCGUAGAUAUUCGCAAGAACACCAGUGGCGAAGGCGGCUCACUGGCCCGGUACUGACGCUAAGGUGCGAAAGCGUGGGGAGCAAACAGGAUUAGAUACCCUGGUAGUCCACGCCGUAAACGAUGCGCGCUAGAUCGGUGCGGCUCUGACGCCGGAUCGGUCGGAGUAAAAACGAUAAGCGCGCCGCCUGGGGAGUACGGUCGCAAGGCUAAAACUCAAAGGAAUUGACGGGGGCUCACACAAGCGGUGGAGCAUGUUGCUUAAUUCGAUGCAACGCGAAGAACCUUACCUGGGCUUGACAUGGCCGGAUUAGUUCCCGGAAACGGGGAUGACACCCGCAAGGGUGGAACGGUCACAGGUGCUGCAUGGCUGUCGUCAGCUCGUGCUGUGAAGUGUCGGGUUAAGUCCCUUAACGAGCGCAACCCCUGUCGUUAGUUGCUCGGCGCAAGCCAGUACUUUAGCGAGACUGCCGCUGUAAAGCGGAGGAAGGUGGGGAUGACGUCAAGUCCUCAUGGCCCUUACGUCCAGGGUUGCAAACGUGCUACAAUGGCGCGCACAGAGCGAUGCAAGAGCGCAAGCUGGAGCAAAUCGCAAAAAACGCGCCCCAGUUCGGAUUGCAGGCUGCAACUCGCCUGCAUGAAGUCGGAAUCGCUAGUAAUCGGAGAUCAGCUACGCUCCGGUGAAUACGUUCCUGAGCCUUGUACACACCGCCCGUCAAGUCAUGGGAGCCGGGAGCGCCCGAAGUCGUCACUCCUCAGUGAUGCCCACGGCAAGCUCGGUGACUGGGACUAAGUCGUAACAAGGUAACCGUA
This 1480-nucleotide ribosomal RNA is filed under the name uncultured bacterium. RNAcentral's name for it is "partial 16S ribosomal RNA". It matches the Rfam family "Bacterial small subunit ribosomal RNA". The record is from RNAcentral.